GAAAAUCCAAACUCUAGUCCUCAUGUUUGCGUGGCAACUGUUUAUCUGUGCCUUGAAUUCUGCUCCAUUUCCUGAGACUGACAGAUCAUAGGGGUCCCCAAUAGACAUAUCUACAUGAUAUCUCCUACAUCUCUGCCUCAAAGAACAGAAAGAAUGUGUCCAAAUACUACUAAGUCUGCUGUGAAAGAGUCUCUCCUAGAAACGGCUGCAUAAAGAAGACCAUUGAUAUAGCAACAUCAAUCAAUGGACAUGUUAACAUUGAAGAGAAGAAAUGUUGCAGGUCUCACACCUGGGACAAGAACUACAAACAACUAUUGACUGUCAGGAGAAGGAGAAUUAGCCUCUCCAAUGGGAAGCUGUACAUCAGAUCCAAGCCCAAAGACAACACCAUCCGCUGUUCCUGCAUAAAGAGCACAUGAACAUAGUCCAGAUAAUGUGGCUUUUGUCCUGUGGAGCAUGUUGACAUGCUUUCCUGCAAAGAGUGCUGAGGCUUGGAGUGUUCUCCGUUAUCCAGUGGAGUUGUUUUAUUGCCACAUGCAAAAGCAAUUGAGCCAUCCAGACCUCAUAUGAAUUUUGUUUUGGAAACUAUAAUACAUGUUUCUAGUACAUUCCUUUACAGCUAUAAACCCUGUGGUACCAGCA
Mastomys coucha (southern multimammate mouse) is the source of this 642-nucleotide long non-coding RNA. RefSeq lists it as uncharacterized. The record is from RefSeq and is a predicted model, not a curated record. The transcript has 3 exons. Lineage: Eukaryota; Metazoa; Chordata; Mammalia; Rodentia; Muridae.